GUAUAAUAGUAGAUCACUCAAGGCAUGCUGAGAGAUUUAUUAACAUUUUUGGAAUUUGGGAAAGUUUCAACAUCUUACAUUGAACAUGGACAUGAAGAUUCUAAUAAUAAUAAUGAUUUUAUGCAAUGUACUUGUAAUGAAUAUAAAAUAUGAUUGUAAGGCAGAUCACUUGAUGCAUGCUGAGACUGGAAUUCACAUUCCUACCACUUGGGAAAGUAUCAACAUCCUACAUUGAACAACGGACUAGAAGAUUCUGAUAAUAAUAAUGGUUUUAUGCAAUAUGGCAGUAUAAUAGUAGAUCACUCAAGGCAUGCUGAGAGAUUUAUUAACAUUUUUGGAAUUUGGGAAAGUUUCAACAUCUUACAUUGAACAUGGACAUGAAGAUUCUAAUAAUAAUAAUGAUUUUAUGCAAUGUACUUGUAAUGAAUAUAAAAUG
Long non-coding RNA from Rhopalosiphum padi (bird cherry-oat aphid), 436 nucleotides. RefSeq lists it as uncharacterized. The record is from RefSeq and is a predicted model, not a curated record. The transcript is spliced from 3 exons. NCBI's taxonomy places the organism in Eukaryota, Metazoa, Arthropoda, Insecta, Hemiptera, Aphididae.